RNAcentral lists this small RNA (127 nucleotides) under Marmota monax (woodchuck). Lineage: Eukaryota; Metazoa; Chordata; Mammalia; Rodentia; Sciuridae. The record is from RNAcentral.
GCCGGGGGCAGUGACUCACACCUGUAAUCUCAGCAACUCGGGAGGCUGAGGCAGGAGGAUCUCAAGUUCAAAGCCAGCCUAAGUAACUUAUUGAGGCCCUGAACAACUCAGAGAGACCCUGUUUCUA